RNAcentral lists this ribosomal RNA (397 nucleotides) under uncultured bacterium. RNAcentral's name for it is "partial 16S ribosomal RNA". It matches the Rfam family "Bacterial small subunit ribosomal RNA", at positions 523 to 918 of the family's 1533-position model. The record is from RNAcentral.
AUACGUAGGGGGCGAGCGUUGUCCGGAAUGAUUGGGCGUAGAGGGCGCGUAGGCGGCCCGGUAAGUCUGGAGUGAAAGUCCUGUUUUUAAGAUGGGAAUUGCUUUGGAUACUGUCGGGCUUGAGUGCAGGAGAGGUAAGUGGAAUUCCCAGUGUAGCGGUGAAAUGCGUAGAGAUUGGGAGGAACACCAGUGGCGAAGGCGACUUACUGGACUGUAACUGACGCUGAGGCGCGAAAGUGUGGGGAGCAAACAGGAUUAGAUACCCUGGUAGUCCACACUGUAAACGAUGAAUGCUAGGUGUAGGGGGUAUCGACCCCUUCUGUGCCGCAGUCAACACAAUAAGCAUUCCGCCUGGGGAGUACGGCCGCAAGGUUGAAACUCAAAGGAAUUGACGGGG